AAGAACCAUGCUCUGUCCAAGGCAUGGGGAACAACUUGUAGGUCCCCCCAUUUUCAAAUCAGUUUAGUUAAUGAAAUCAUCAUUUCACAUUCAAAUUGUGUUCCCUAUUUUUCAUUAAUCUUUAUUUUAUAAAAAAAAUGGCGAUGUUUUCUUUUCUCUUUUUUAAGUUUUCAUCAUUUUUUUCUCCACUCUCAUAAAAAUAAAAGCAUGAAUCAUGGAUCCUGCAAAUCCUCCUCGAUUUCCAUCAAUAACGAUAUUGCUAUGAUCCCUAUGACUUUGACAAUCCUAUAUAUCACGCCGAUGAAGACUGCGAAGAAGAUUGUGAACUCCCCAAGGAGUUGGCUCGACUACUACUGCAAACAUCAAAG
RNAcentral lists this long non-coding RNA (368 nucleotides) under Lathyrus oleraceus (garden pea). RNAcentral describes it as "Pisum sativum (pea) long non-coding RNA (PSAT_LNC008154)". The record is from RNAcentral. Lineage: Eukaryota; Viridiplantae; Streptophyta; Magnoliopsida; Fabales; Fabaceae.